UAGCAUACGCUUGUCUCAAAGAUUAAGCCAUGCAUGUCUAAGUAUAAACAACUUUAUACGUGAAACUGCGAAUGGCUCAUUAUAUCAGUUAUAGUUUCUUUGAUGGUGACACUACUUGGAUAACCGUAGUAAUUCUAGAGCUAAUACAUGCAGCAAUCCCUGACUUAGGAAAGGGUGUACUUAUUAGAUGGAAACCAAUGAGGGGCAACCCUGUAUAUGGUGAUUCAUAAUAAUUUUCGGAUCGAUCUUUGAUCGAUGCAUCAUUCAAGUUUCUGCC
RNAcentral lists this ribosomal RNA (277 nucleotides) under uncultured eukaryote. RNAcentral's name for it is "partial 18S ribosomal RNA". It matches the Rfam family "Eukaryotic small subunit ribosomal RNA", at positions 25 to 311 of the family's 1831-position model. The record is from RNAcentral.